UUGCCGGCGUUUGACGAUAGACUCAACUGCUUGCCGGCGAGGCCCGUUCAGAGGCCUCCGGCGCAAUGUCAGGCUUUCUUGUCUAAGCCUGUCGAUUGUAACUCCUUUAACUGCAAAUCGUUUGUUCCUUCACCAACAUCACCUUCACCUGUAACUCCUUCACCUCCAUCACCUGGUACACCUUCACCUAUAACUCCUUCGCCGUUACCUUCGCCUUCAUCGCCACCUUCACCUGUAACUCCUUCACCCCCAUCACCUGGUACACCUUCACCCGGAACUCCUUCACCUCCAUCACCUGGGACUCCUUCGCAUCCAUCACCUGGGACACCUUCACCUGUAACUCCUUCGCCUUCAUCGCCUCCUUCACCUGCUACUCCUUCACCAUUACCUUCACCUACAACACCUUCACCACUGCCUACACCUCCAGCGCCUGCAACACAUCCUUCGCCACCGAACCCACUGGUACCUACACCUCCUUCGGAACCACCGGUGGUCGGACAUUCCCCUCCACCAGGACCGGUGGCACCUUCCCCACUACCACCCGUUCAUACUCCUCCUUCUCCGGUGUAUUUGCCACCACCACAUUCUUCCCCUGCUCCACCUGUCUACUCUCCACAACCUCCAACACCUUCACAUUUGCCGCCUCCGUCAUAUACUCCACCUUCUCCUUCACCUUCUCCAACGCCACCCUAUGUUACCCACCCUCCGCCGCCGCCGGCCCCAACCUUCUCGACACCACCACCUUCACAUGAUUACGGCUCAUCGCCACCUCCAACACCUCAUCACUCACCCUCACCUCAUGCAUAUCCUUAUUUAUCACCCCCACCACCUUCUCCUGUUCAUUUUCCACCUCCACCACCUUGUACAGAACUUCCUCCACCCCCUCCUCAAUCAACACCUUCUCCCACACCUUACCUUCCACCACCAUCCCCAUCUCACACACCUUAUCACCCACCACCAUCCCCUUCUAACACUCCUUAUCACCCAUCACCAUCCCAUUCUCCCCCUCCCCCUCCACCGCUUCAAUACAGUUCGCCGCCGCCGCCGCCGGCAUCUCCGCCACCCGUUUCUCCACCGCCACCUGUUGUGUACCAAAACCCACCACCUGCCCCUGUAUAUGAAGGGCCAUUGCCACCCAUCGUUGGACUCCCAUACGCAUCGCCUCCACCACCAC
RNAcentral lists this long non-coding RNA (1174 nucleotides) under Phaseolus vulgaris (common bean). Its description in RNAcentral is "long non-coding RNA (PVUL_LNC004754)". Lineage: Eukaryota; Viridiplantae; Streptophyta; Magnoliopsida; Fabales; Fabaceae. The record is from RNAcentral.